ACGAACGCUGGCGGCGUGCUUAACCCAUUCAAGUCGAACGGAAAGGCCCUGCUUUUGGGGGGUUCUCGGGUGGCGAACGGGUGAGUAACACGUGGGUAACCUGCCCUUGACUUUGGGAUAACUUCAGGAAACUGGGGCUAAUACCGGAUAGGAGCUCCUGCUUCAUGGUGGGGGUUGGAAAGUUUCGGCGGUUGGGGAUGGACUCGCGGCUUAUCAGCUUGUUGGUGGGGUAGUGGCUUACCAAGGCUUUGACGGGUAGCCGGCCUGAGAGGGUGACCGGCCACAUUGGGACUGAGAUACGGCCCAGACUCCUACGGGAGGCAGCAGUGGGGAAUAUUGCACAAUGGGCGGAAGCCUGAUGCAGCAACGCCGCGUGCGGGAUGACGGCCUUCGGGUUGUAAACCGCUUUCGCCUGUGACGAAGCGUGAGUGACGGUAAUGGGUAAAGAAGCACCGGCUAACUACGUG
This 467-nucleotide ribosomal RNA is filed under the name uncultured bacterium. Its description in RNAcentral is "partial 16S ribosomal RNA". It matches the Rfam family "Bacterial small subunit ribosomal RNA", at positions 29 to 507 of the family's 1533-position model. The record is from RNAcentral.